This 7175-nucleotide long non-coding RNA is filed under the name Malus domestica (apple). RNAcentral describes it as "long non-coding RNA (MDOM_LNC009497)". The record is from RNAcentral. Lineage: Eukaryota; Viridiplantae; Streptophyta; Magnoliopsida; Rosales; Rosaceae.
CCUGGGCGAUGUGAGAUGUUACAAAUUACAUCCCGGCCUGGGUCCACCACAUCCUGGGCCCGUUCCACCACCGUAGCACGAUAUUGUCCGUUUUGGGCUUACCAUUCCUUCACGGUUUUAUUUUUGGGAACUCACGAGCAACUUCCCAGUGGGUCACCCAUCUUGGGAGUGCUCUGGCCUCCUUCUCACUUAACUUCAGAGUUCCUACGGAACCCGAAGCCAGUGAGCUCCCAAAAAGCCUCGUGCUAGGUAAGGAUUGGAAUAUACAUUUAAGGAUCACUCUCCUGGACGAUAUGGGAUGUUACAAUAUUUACAUGUUUACUGCGAAAUGUUUGAACUAAAUUUUGAAACUCUAAAUUAAACUUAUGAUUAUAUCUAUCAGACACUUUACCUAUAUACAUUAAGCUAAUACACAAAUUUUUAUACUCUCAUUUCAUAUUAUAAUUUUUUGUUCUUAUGCUCACUUUAAUAUAUUUACUAAAUUCAUUAAUCAUCAUAACAUAAUUUGGAAUACAACAUAUGACUGCUAAGUUUGAACUUAAGUCUACUUCAGUUGUUACUAUUGUUGCUUAUUGGUGAUUAUAUCAUCUAUCAUUAUAUAUGUAUACUAAAGCUUUUGUACCUACUUGUGCUCUGUUAAUCCUGCUAUUCCAAUUAAUAUUGUUCCUAUAUGAAUCUGACUAAAAUGUGAUUUUCUCAAAUGAGUAACUACUUCUUUACUAAUUAAAUUAAGUGUGACUUCUUUAUCAAUACAUCUAACUUCAUGUUGACUGAUUGUGCUUACAAUUCUACUUCUGUUUCAAAUAAACCUAAAUGGUACAAGUUAUACUUAUUUUUCUGUGUUCUCUCAAAACCUCUUCGAAUAAAUUCUUGUGCUUCUUCUUCAUUUGGAUAAAUAUAUUCCGCUCUAACUACUUUUUUUCCUUUUUUCCUAAAGAGUUCCAUUUUCUAUUAUAAAAAAGAUUUAGCUUAGGUCUUCUAUUAUUAUUUGCACUCAAAGUUAAAUUUUCUAAUUUAUCUAGCAAUGAUGGUGGAAGUGAUUAAGAUAUGUUAUGUAAAACUUGGUUUAUUUCUGCUAUUUGUUCUUCAACUUGAUUUAAUUUUUCAGCCAAACUUAAAACUAAUUGAAUAAUCAAAUUAUUUUGCCUAAUGAGAAUAUUACUACUGAAUACUUGUGUUGAAAAAUUUGUUAAACCUACUGGUUCUUUAUCUAACUUACUAAUUUCUUCAAAGCUUGAAUAUAUUUUAUGCUAGUUUUGAGAAUCAGUCAUUAAACUAAUAAUUUAUCUAUUUUAUUAUGCAACUUAUCUACUUGUUCACUUAACUCUUUUUGUACUAAUUAAAUUUUUUGAACUUCUAAUUUUAGUUGCUCAACUAUUUCUAAUGAUCUAAAUUCUACUUACUGCUUACUAUCUGUAAGAUCAACAAGCUCUUUUACUUCUUUUUUGCUAGGAAACCUUUGAAUAUUUUUAUUAUUAUCUUCUAACUGAGAUGUAAUAUAGUCUAAAUUUUGUCUAAUUAUUUUUAUGGAAUUUUUCUGAAAAUGUUCUAACAACUGGUUUAACAAAUGAUUAUGCUUAUUAUUUUCUAAUUUUAUAUUUUUUGUUUGACUAAUAAUAAGAUCUACAAUAAUAUUGGCUUGUGAAUUUUCUUCACUGUGCAAAAUAUGAUUAUGCUUGCUUGAUGGAAAAUAACAAACUAAACUAUUUUGGUCUAAAGUUAUUUUCUUUUUUGAGGUUCACUAAUUUCUAAAUUAAGAUAAUCUAUCAUAAACUAUAGUCUACAUUUCUCUAGAGUUACGGCUAACUGGUUUCUUAUAAACUCUCUUUCUUUUCUCAAGGUCUCUAAAACUUGAUCUGUUAUUCUUUUUGCUUCUAAAACUUUAUGCUGCACUUCUGUAUUAUUAUAUUUACGAAUAAAUGAAGGAUGUUCAAGAUAGCCAAGAUAAAACUUUUGCUUCUUCAAAGUGCUAAUAAUUCUUUUGGAUAUAUAUGCUAAUCUUCUCUUUAUGCUAGUUAUAGUUUGAUGUCUGGGACAAUAAAUACCUGGUAAUUGUGGUUGACAGGGUCUAUAGGGACAAUAAUAUCUGGUAAUUGUGGUUGACAGGGUUUACAGGGACAAUAAUAUCUGUUGUUCAUAUACAAUAAACAAAUAUGAUAUCAGUUGUAUCAAUGACUUCUAUCCUCAAGGUACUUUACUAUUAUAAUUAUAUUAUUAAAAUGCUAAACUUGGCUCUGAUACCAAAUUCGCAAUGCAUGCUCGGUUAAAUAGUCGGAUGACCAUAAUAACAACUAGACAUAGAACCUUGCAAAUAGAACUCAACAUGUUUCAGCAUGACGGCCACUCACAGUACAAGUAUAAGGCCUUAACGGCUGAACUCAGAGGUACAAAGAACUCAGAGGUACCCUGGUUAAUGUCCAGUUAUUUGUAUGGCAAACAUUCAACUAUAACAGGAUGCUCGAACAAAGUAUGAUCGUCAGUUUAGCAGGUUAAUAAUAUAACCACAAUAGUGUUUCCCUAUUUUGGACUAGAAGUCUAAUUAAACAAACACAUUAAAGAAGGAAAAGAAAACUUACUUAAGACUUGGAGAUUGUUUGAAUAUGUACACUUGAACUUUUAUUGAUAUAUGGACUGUUUACAGAGAUAGUUGUUUACAAGAAAGUGAUUACAAAGAAGUGUUUACAAGGAUGCUAUUAAGGCUACGAAUGCUUGAGUGUAUGAAGUGAGUAUAGUGUUUUCAGAUGUUGAGAGAGGUAUCUUGCAUGGGAGGAAAGCUCCCUUAUAUACAAAAGCUGAUUCCUAAACAAAACAAAAUAACUUUCCAAUAUUUACAACUUUUUAGAUAGUGACAACACAUUGUUUCUGAAAGCUGUCAGCACUGUUCUGAAAAUUGAUGAAAGCCACGUGAACCCAUAUUGUCUUGGUUGCUGCAAUGUUUGCCACCUUAGCUGUGCCAUGCAAAUUUUUUUCUGAAAGUGUCACCUUCAUUGCUGAGCAAUCUUGUAUGCAUGUGUGAAGGGCAUGAUUGGCAUUUUUGCUAAGUUUUGUCCUGAUGGUUAAAAAGAAAGUUUUUUAGGUGUUUUGGUUAGUUUUCCAUAAAAAAUAUUAUUUUUGGUUAGAGUAGAUUUCUUAUUCAAACAUCAUAAGAUUGCACAGCAGAUACGUUAAUAAGAUUUUCUGAACCCAAACAUAAAAAUUAAGAAAUAAGAACACUAUUAUGAAAAGAUACGUUGCUCGAGUACCUUCACGGGGCAAAAACAAGUUACAAAUAAUCUCAACAAACCUAAUACAUAAACAAUAAAGUUGCUUUGUUAGGAAUAGAUGCUAUUCAAGCAUCAUAAGACAGUGACGUAAAAUUGCCUCGUAUGAUGGAUGAGGAUCCUCUCCGGAUCCUCUUUAUGGGGAUCUUAGGGAUCUUUACAUCUUAAUUGUUCAUUGUAUAUCGUGUAGUCAGUUUUCAUCAAAUACUAUUUGUGUCUAAUUUUAAAUAAAAAAAGUCAAAUAAUUUCUAACCGCAUACGAUGAAUGGCUAAGAUGUGAAGAUCCCUAGGAUCCUCACAAUUUGAAACUAGAUGAGAUCCAAAUCCUCGUAUGAUACCCAAUAUCCACUUAUACUGUAGUUCAUUUGUACCUUUAAGUAUGAAUUCAUCUCCUCCCCCAUUAAUCAUGUUAUAUCAUGUAGACUAGAAAAAUCACAUCCGAUAAUGUUUCAGCAACCUCGGAUUAUUCGUUUGUACACGAGCCUUGAUGUCUUUGUUGAUUAAGCCAUUUUUGUCCGCUGGUAAUUUGCGUAUCCUCUACAUUACUCUUUCUGACUUAUCAAACAUGAAAGGGGAAAGAAAUGAAAAACUUAAAUACACGAACACUUGACACAUGCACACAUGAGAGAUAUGAUCCGGUUACAGAUUAAGCUAAAUAUUUGUGUUGAGCUGAUCGAUUAUACGUAUAUGGGAUGAAUGCAAGAAGCACUUGACAAAAAAGUCAGAAGUGGGGAUAGCUACUUAUCUAAGACCAUGAUGUAAGAACGUCAUAAAAAAUUUGGCUUUAUUAAUUAAUAUUUGACAUAUUGUUCCCUAAUCUCAUCAAGCAUAUACUAUCAGGAAUCCUUACCAUAAUGUCUCAUAUUUUAUGCUUCUUUUAGCCCUGAAAUGCACUGAACUGGGCUAAAUGCAUUGCAUGCUCUCACUAUCCCACUGUCACGCAUACGAGGUACCUCAAUAUUUUAGCUUUUCAUUUAAAUCACGUGGGGAUUUACAACUCUUUGUAUCCGGUCCUUAGUUUUUAGCUAGAGUUCUUUGACUGAAACCCGGUUGAAUUUCAAUUUCUGAUUCAUGUCUAUAAACUUUGUACGCAUCAACAUUUUACUAUUGAUGACAUAUUUCCAUGUCAAUUUUUAUUUUAUUUGCUAAAGUUUUUAAUUUUUAAAUCAUCUAUCAUAUCACGGUAAAGAACAAUUCGAGAGUAUUGUAACUGAAAUUUCGAAAUUUCAGUCGCCUAAUUCAAGCUUCUGUUAGUUUCAAAUUAAUAGUUUGUAGGCAAGAUAGACUUUAUGAACCAAAUAAAAUAAAUAGAAAACUUUAUUUUAAUCCUUAAAAAAUAUGAGUUUUAGACUAUAACCUUGUGUAAUAUUAAAAUCUAAUUUUAGUCCUUGAUCAUAUACAUUGUUUUUUAGUACGUCCCUGAUACAUUAAUCAUCUCAUUUAUUAAUUAUAUUUGAUGUUUUAUUUCCUUCUUCUUUCCCAUUUUUAAUAUAUUAAUUACAUUUCAUUCAUCAUAAUAUAUUUUGAUGUCUACAUUUAGCUAAACUAAUUGUUUUUUUUAUAUAAUAUACGAAUAUACAAUUUGUAUAAUCUUCAUUUGGGUACAUAAAUUCAUUUGAUAUAUUUAGGUAUAUCCAUUGAUACAAAUAUAUAGGUACAUUAAUUGAAUAUAAUAUAUUUCGGUACAUACAUUUCGGUACAUUAAUUCAAUAUAAUACAUUUCGGUACGUAGAUUUUGAUACAUACAUUUUGGUAUUGACAUUUAGGUACAUUAAUUCAAUAUAACACAUUUUGGUACAUACAUGCAUUUAGGCUCAUUAUAUAUAUGUCGGUACAAACAUUUUGGUACAGUCAUUUCUGAAUGUAUUUACAUAUUUAUGUGUCACUAAUUUCUUUUAAUAUUUUCUCAUUUAUGUUCAUAUAUAAUUGAAAGAAAUAAUAUGUGCAUAUUAAUAAAAUUAAAAUUUUAAAUGUGGAGGAAAUAAAAAAAAAUACACAUUAAAUAACAAAAGUAGAAUAUAUUUUGGGAUUUUUUAUUAAUACCUCAUAUUUUAUUGACUACACCCCACAUAAUAAUUUGAUAUUAAAUUGCUCAUAAAAUGACUAUUUAAGCCCUAAAAUGUUAUAAAAAUUAAAAAGAAGAUUCUAAAACAGAUGAAGAAAGUACAGAAGAGUAAGAGAGUAAGAGAGUUUAGAGAGUAGAGAGAGAAUCAAGAAAUGUAUUUCCUUUCUAGUUAGUUACAAAUGACUAUUACAACAUGUAUUUAUUUGUAUUGGUAGCUUACUCUCUAAGCCACACAAUAACCACCUUAACUAACUCUUAUAUCACAGCUAUAGAAUCUUAGUACUCCUAUCACUAAAUACACCCCAAGUUCUUUCUUUGAGUCAUGCCUAAAAUUUACCUCUACGCUCUCACAUAAGCAAUAUGACUAUUUUUCCAAAAAAGAAUGAACAGGUUUUCAGUAAAAGUUUGAAAACUCAAUGUGAAACUCUAUCACUUCAAUAUUAUAUACAUACAACUACAAGACUUAAACCCUUUUGCCCUCAAGUCAAUUUGGGUGAGGCUUGUGUCCUUUUGUCUUUACUUUAAUGAAAACUCAUUUCAACUAAAAGAAAGAUUGAAGAAUUAUAUAGGUUACUGAUAUAUGAAAAUUGAAAAGAAAACUGGAGGAAACAAGUUUGUGAAGACGAAUCCGCAGGUUUGAUGUGGGGUGUAUGUGAGGAGUUUAGAGUGUGAGGAUAGCUUGGGAAAGAAUGUAGGGUGUAUUAAGAUAUUUUUUUUUAAUUUAAAAUGUAGAUGUGGGGUGUUUUUAGUACGUGGGGAUUAAUCAACAAAAUAUGGGGUGCCAAUAAAACAACCCUAUAUUUUUUAAUAAAAGUACGCUUUAACUUUAAGGCAUUAAAAAUGAAUAUGUAAUCUAGUACCAUAUUUAAAAAAAAAAAUUCUAAUCUUUUGUAAGGACUAAUGUUCAAAACCCCUAAAAUAAAAUUGUAAAGUCUGUCUCAUAUCACGGUAAAAACUAAUUGGAGAGCAUUGUAACUAAUAGUUUGUACGCAAGACAGGUAAAAAAUAAUUGGAGAGCAUUGUAACUAAUAGUUUGUACGCAAGACAGACUUUAUGAACAAUAAAGUCAAAAUAUAAAAAAAAAUCUUCAAAGUCUACCCUUGAACAAGUCCUCAGUUCUUCCCUGCAAAAAAAAUUCUGAUAUUUAGGUUUGCCUUCAAAUUGAUCAAUGUUUAUGUUUACCUGCUAAGCUAGUUUGUAUCCAAAAUUGAAAUGUUGAUUUUGCUGUCAUCAUAUAUACAAACAAAAAAUAGUACCCAAUGCAAUAAGAUUGUACCCCAGGCUUGGCCUUUUAAGCCCCAUAAAGGAAAAUAAAAAAUAAAAAUAAAAAUAAAAUAAAAAAAACUUAUUCAAGCAUUUUUACAAACAUGUUCUAUGCAUAUUAGAAUUCAACAAUGUUUCAGUUACAGAUGAUUGGCAACUAAGGAAUGGAUUCUAUUUCUCUUCUUUUUAAUUAUAUUAUAUUGACAGCUAGGACAGUAUGGGAGAGAGGGAAUAUGAUAUUGACAGCUAGGACAGUAUGGAGAGAAGGAAUAUUGCUCGUGAAAAGGAAUGUUGUAUAUUCCUUGACAGAUAGACUACCACAUGGUACUACCACAUGGUUUGCUGCUUUUCUUUUUCUCUAGUUGCUGCAUCAUGACAGCAAGCACAACACCUGUAUUGCUUUUCUUUAUUGCAUGCGUGUAUGUAAAAUGUAUAUAAACAAUGCUGCCAUUGCAGCAGAAAAUAAGAUCGAAACAACAAAGUUGAAACCAAAACUUCAAUAUGGUAUCAGAGCAGGAACCAUAGGGUCCUGCCUCUGUUGAUUAUCCUUCUAGCUUGUUCUUCUUUCUCUGUUCAUCAUUUGUUGU